RNAcentral lists this ribosomal RNA (611 nucleotides) under Salmonella enterica subsp. enterica serovar Rissen. RNAcentral's name for it is "partial 23S ribosomal RNA". It matches the Rfam family "Bacterial large subunit ribosomal RNA", at positions 578 to 1190 of the family's 2925-position model. Lineage: Bacteria; Pseudomonadati; Pseudomonadota; Gammaproteobacteria; Enterobacterales; Enterobacteriaceae. The record is from RNAcentral.
AGCACCCUUCGGGGUGUGACUGCGUACCUUUUGUAUAAUGGGUCAGCGACUUAUAUUCUGUAGCAAGGUUAACCGAAUAGGGGAGCCGGAGGGAAACCGAGUCUUAAUUGGGCGUUAAGUUGCAGGGUAUAGACCCGAAACCCGGUGAUCUAGCCAUGGGCAGGUUGAAGGUUGGGUAACACUAACUGGAGGACCGAACCGACUAAUGUUGAAAAAUUAGCGGAUGACCUGUGGCUGGGGGUGAAAGGCCAAUCAAACCGGGAGAUAGCUGGUUCUCCCCGAAAGCUAUUUAGGUAGCGCCUCGUGAACUCAUCUCCGGGGGUAGAGCACUGUUUCGGCUAGGGGGCCAUCCCGGCUUACCAACCCGAUGCAAACUGCGAAUACCGGAGAAUGUUAUCACGGGAGACACACGGCGGGUGCUAACGUCCGUCGUGAAGAGGGAAACAACCCAGACCGCCAGCUAAGGUCCCAAAGUCAUGGUUAAGUGGGAAACGAUGUGGGAAGGCCCAGACAGCCAGGAUGUUGGCUUAGAAGCAGCCAUCAUUUAAAGAAAGCGUAAUAGCUCACUGGUCGAGUCGGCCUGCGCGGAAGAUGUAACGGGGCUAAACCAU